CUAAGAAUAUUCCGCAAUGGACGGAAGUCUGACGGAGCGACGCCGCGUGGAUGACGAAGGCCGAAAGGUUGUAAAGUUCUUUUGCUGGGGAAAGAACAACCGCAGGAGGGAAUGCCUGUGGGAUGACAAGAACCGGCGAAUAAGCCCCGGCCAACUACGCGCCAGCAGCCGCGGUAACACGUAGGGGGCGAGCGUUGUUCGGAAUUACUGGGCGUAAAGGGCAUGUAGGCGGCUUGGAAAGCCUGGCGUGAAAGUCUGCAGCUUAACUGCAGGGGUGCGCUGGGAACUGCUGAGCUUGAGUGACGGAGAGGGAGCUGGAAUUCCUGGUGUAGGGGUGAAAUCUGUAGAUAUCAGGAAGAACACCGAUGGCGAAGGCAAGCUCCUGGCCGAUGACUGACGCUGAGGUGCGAAAGUGUGGGGGAUCAAACAGGAUUAGAUACCCUGGUAGUCCACACAGUCAACGAUGUGCACUAGGUGCUGGGGCGGUAGCUUCGGUGCCGGAGCGAACGUGGUGAAGUGCACCGCCUGGGGAGUAUGCUCGCAAGGGUGAAACUC
RNAcentral lists this ribosomal RNA (555 nucleotides) under uncultured bacterium. RNAcentral's name for it is "partial 16S ribosomal RNA". It matches the Rfam family "Bacterial small subunit ribosomal RNA", at positions 355 to 902 of the family's 1533-position model. The record is from RNAcentral.